This 492-nucleotide ribosomal RNA is filed under the name uncultured bacterium. Its description in RNAcentral is "partial 16S ribosomal RNA". It matches the Rfam family "Bacterial small subunit ribosomal RNA", at positions 29 to 507 of the family's 1533-position model. The record is from RNAcentral.
AGUGAACGCUGGCGGUAGGCCUAACACAUGCAAGUCGAACGGCAGCACAGAACAAGUUUGUUCUUCCGGGUCGCGAGUCGCGGGGGGGAGAGGUAUAUAGCGGACUCUAUGUUUUAGUGGGGGAACACGUAGGGACAGUAACGAAUAUACCGCAUACGCGCUACGGGAGAAAGGAGGGGCUUUUGGGACCUUGCCCGCUUGUAUGCGCCGAUGUCGGAUUAGCUAGUUGGGGGGGUAAAGGCCCACCAAGGCGACGAUCUGUAGCUGGUCUGAGAGGAUGAUCAGCCACACUGGAACUGAGACACGGUCCAGACUCCUACGGGAGGCAGCAGUGGGGAAUAUUGGACAAUGGGCGCAAGCCUGAUCCAGCCAUGCCGCGUGUAUGAAGAAGGCCUUCGGGUUGUAAAGUCCUUUUGGUGGGGAGGAAGAGCAUCAGGUUAAUACCUCGCUUUACUGACGGUACCCAAAGAAGAAGCACCGGCUAACUUCGUG